Molecule: small RNA, 877 nt
Filed under: Pongo abelii (Sumatran orangutan)
Lineage: Eukaryota; Metazoa; Chordata; Mammalia; Primates; Hominidae
Description: retained intron
Source: RNAcentral
AGUCGGGUCCCGAGGCUCCGGCUCGGCAGACCGGGCGGAAAGCAGCCGAGCGGCCAUGGAGCUGUGCGGGCUGGGGCUGCCCCGGCCGCCCAUGCUGCUGGCGCUGCUGUUGGCGACACUGCUGGCGGCGAUGUUGGCGCUGCUGACUCAGGUGGCUCUGGUGGUGCAGGUGGCGGAGGCGGCUCGGGCCCCGGGCGUCUGGGCCAAGCCGAGGCCGGCGCUGUGGCCCCAGCCGCUCUCGGUGAAGAUGACCCCGAACCUGCUGCAUCUCUCCCCGGAGAACUUCUACAUCAGCCACAGCCCCAAUUCCACGGCGGGCCCCUCCUGCACCCUGCUGGAGGAAGCGUUUCGGAGAUAUCAUGGCUAUAUUUUUGGUUUCUACAAGUGGCAUCAUGAACCUGCUGAAUUCCAGGCUAGAACCCAGCUUCAGCAACUUCUUGUCUCAAUCACCCUUCAGUCAGAGUGUGAUGCUUUCCCCAACAUAUCUUCAGAUGAGUCUUGUAAGUACCUAUGCAAUGUGAGUGUAUUAUAUCCCAGGUGCUCGCUGACGGACUUAAGUGCCAAAAACUGGCUCCAUGCUAGGAACCACUGUGAGUUCUCAACCAGUGAGUUUAUGAUUCCUAUUUUUAAAAUAACCUUUAAAGUCUGAUUAUAAAAGUAGUACAUAGUCUUUGUGGAAAAUUUGUAAGUACAGUAAGUGCAGAAGAAGAAAUAAAUCACUCACAAUCCCAGCAGACAGAAUUAAUCACUGUCAUUUUAGGUGUAUUUUUUUGCAGAGUAAAACAUGUAAACAUUUUACAUAGACAUAAAUACAAACAUGAUAAGUAUUGACAUGAAAAUGGCAGUAAUUCUGUACAUGUGCUUCUUGUAUUUUUGU